RNAcentral lists this unclassified non-coding RNA (350 nucleotides) under soil metagenome. Its description in RNAcentral is "partial contains 5.8S ribosomal RNA, internal transcribed spacer 2, and large subunit ribosomal RNA". The stretch from base 1 to 120 matches the Rfam family "5.8S ribosomal RNA", at positions 35 to 154 of the family's 154-position model. The record is from RNAcentral.
GAUGAAGAACGUAGCGAACUGCGAUAAGUAAUGUGAAUUGCAGAAUUCAGUGAAUCAUCGAGUCUUUGAACGCACAUUGCACCCCCUGGCAUUCCGGGGGGCAUGCCUGUCCGAGCGUCAUUGCUGCCCUUCAAGCCCGGCUUGUGUGUUGGGUCGUCGUCCCCCCCGGGGGACGGGCCCGAAAGGCAGCGGCGGCACCGCGUCCGGUCCUCGAGCGUAUGGGGCUUUGUCACCCGCUCGAUUAGGGCCGGCCGGGCGCCAGCCGGCGUCUCCAACCUUCUAUUUUACCAGGUUGACCUCGGAUCAGGUAGGGAUACCCGCUGAACUUAAGCAUAUCAAUAAGCGGAGGA